UGAUAGCGAUGAAGCGUGAGGUUGCUGCAUCGGCGAAAGCUUAUGCAGGUUUUCCGUGGAGCGAAUGUCAGAUAAUAUGACGACAA
Molecule: non-coding RNA, 86 nt
Filed under: bovine gut metagenome
Description: S10-Clostridia ribosomal protein leader
Rfam family: S10-Clostridia ribosomal protein leader
Source: RNAcentral